ACGCUGGCGGCAGGCCUAACACAUGCAAGUCGAGCGGUAGAGAGAAGCUUGCUUCUCUUGAGAGCGGCGGACGGGUGAGUAAUGCCUAGGAAUCUGCCUGGUAGUGGGGGAUAACGUUCGGAAACGGACGCUAAUACCGCAUACGUCCUACGGGAGAAAGCAGGGGACCUUCGGGCCUUGCGCUAUCAGAUGAGCCUAGGUCGGAUUAGCUAGUUGGUGAGGUAAUGGCUCACCAAGGCGACGAUCCGUAACUGGUCUGAGAGGAUGAUCAGUCACACUGGAACUGAGACACGGUCCAGACUCCUACGGGAGGCAGCAGUGGGGAAUAUUGGACAAUGGGCGAAAGCCUGAUCCAGCCAUGCCGCGUGUGUGAAGAAGGUCUUCGGAUUGUAAAGCACUUUAAGUUGGGAGGAAGGGUUGUAGAUUAAUACUCUGCAAUUUUGACGUUACCGACAGAAUAAGCACCGGCUAACUCUGUGCCAGCAGCCGCGGUAAUACAGAGGGUGCAAGCGUCAAUCGGAAUUACUGGGCGUAAAGCGCGCGUAGGUGGUUUGUUAAGUUGGAUGUGAAAUCCCCGGGCUCAACCUGGGAACUGCAUUCAAAACUGACUGACUAGAGUAUGGUAGAGGGUGGUGGAAUUUCCUGUGUAGCGGUGAAAUGCGUAGAUAUAGGAAGGAACACCAGUGGCGAAGGCGACCACCUGGACUAAUACUGACACUGAGGUGCGAAAGCGUGGGGAGCAAAC
This 745-nucleotide ribosomal RNA is filed under the name uncultured bacterium. Its description in RNAcentral is "bacterial SSU rRNA". It matches the Rfam family "Bacterial small subunit ribosomal RNA", at positions 33 to 773 of the family's 1533-position model. The record is from RNAcentral.